RNAcentral lists this ribosomal RNA (498 nucleotides) under uncultured bacterium. Its description in RNAcentral is "partial 16S ribosomal RNA". It matches the Rfam family "Bacterial small subunit ribosomal RNA", at positions 28 to 507 of the family's 1533-position model. The record is from RNAcentral.
GACGAACGCUGGCGGCGUGCCUAAUACAUGCAAGUCGAACGAGAGCGCCCGGUGCUUGCACUGGUCAAUGUAGUGGCGAACGGGUGAGUAACACGUGGGUAACCUGCCCAUCAGAGGGGGAUAACAUACGGAAGCGGAUGCUAAAACGGCAUAGGUCUUCGAGCGGCGGGGCUGGAAGAGUAAUAGAGGCGCAGGCUGAUGCUGAGGGAUGGAGCCGCGGUGCGUGAGCGAGUUGGUGGGGGAACGGCUCACGAAGGCCGUAGGGGAUAACCGACCGGAGGGGGUGAACGGCCACAUUGGGACUGAGACACGGCCCAAACUCCGACGGGAGGCAGCAGUAGGGAAUCUUGCGCAAUGGGCGCAAGUCUGACGGAGCAACGCCGCGUGGGUGAAGAAGGUCUUCGGAUCGUAAAACUCUGUUGUUAGAGAAGAACAAGUGCAGGAGUAGCUGUUCGCGUCUUGACGGUAUCUAAACAGAAAGCCACGGCUAACUACGUG